AGCGAACGCUGGCGGCGUGCCUAACACAUGCAAGUCGAACGUGAAAGGGAGCAAUCCCAAGUAAAGUGGCGUACGGGUGAGUAACACGUAGGUAAUCUACCCCAGAAUCUGGAAUAACCGGCCGAAAGGCUGGCUAAUACUGGAUAGAGCGACGGAAUCCGUAAUUGGGUUUUUCGGGAAAGGGAGCCUGUAAAAAGGCCUUCGUUCUGGGAUGAGCCUGCGUCCCAUCAGCUAGUUGGUGAGGUAAAAGCUUACCAAGGCAAUGACGGGUAGCUGGUCUGAGAGGACGGUCCGCCACACUGGAACUGAAACACGGUCCAGACUCCUACGGGAGGCAGCAGUGGGGAAUCUUGCGCAAUGGACGAAAGUCUGACGCAGCAACGCCGCGUGAGUGCAGAAGGCCUUCGGGUUGUAAAGCUCUGUCGAGUGGGACGAAAAUGCUUGGAGUUCACAGCUCCAGGAACUGACGGUACCACUAAAGGAAGCACCGGCUAACUCCGUG
RNAcentral lists this ribosomal RNA (502 nucleotides) under uncultured bacterium. RNAcentral describes it as "partial 16S ribosomal RNA". It matches the Rfam family "Bacterial small subunit ribosomal RNA", at positions 29 to 507 of the family's 1533-position model. The record is from RNAcentral.